RNAcentral lists this ribosomal RNA (1340 nucleotides) under uncultured bacterium. RNAcentral's name for it is "bacterial SSU rRNA". It matches the Rfam family "Bacterial small subunit ribosomal RNA", at positions 36 to 1379 of the family's 1533-position model. The record is from RNAcentral.
CUGGCGGCGUGCCUAAUACAUGCAAGUCGAACGCAUCACUUCGGUGAUGAGUGGCGAACGGGUGAGUAAAAGAUAAGGAACCUGCCCUAGGCAGGGGGAUAACGACCGGAAACGGACGCUAAAACCGCAUAGGCUGGGAAUUCGCAUGAGGAUCCAGUUAAAUAUCCUUUAGGGGAUAGGCAAAGGAGGGACUUAUCACGCAUUAGCUAGUUGGUGGGGUAACGGCCUACCAAGGCGACGAUGCGUAGCCGGCCUGAGAGGGCGGACGGCCACACUGGGACUGAGACACGGCCCAGACUCCUACGGGAGGCAGCAGUAGGGAAUUUUCGGCAAUGGGCGAAAGCCUGACCGAGCAACGCCGCGUGAACGAAGAAGGUCUUCGGAUUGUAAAGUUCUGUUAUAGAGGAAGAAUGGUGUACGAAGGAAAUGGCGUACAAAUGACGGUACUCUGUGAGGAAGCCACGGCUAACUACGUGCCAGCAGCCGCGGUAAUACGUAGGUGGCGAGCGUUAUCCGGAAUCAUUGGGCGUAAAGAGGGAGCAGGCGGCCUGGAGGGUCUAUUGUUAAAAGGCAAUGGCUUAACCAUUGUAAGGCGAAGAAACCGGCAGGCUAGAGUUCUAAAGAGGAUCGUGGAAUUCCAUGUGUAGCGGUGAAAUGCGUAGAUAUAUGGAGGAACACCAGUGGCGAAGGCGACGAUCUGGGAAGAAACAGACGCUGAGUCCCGAAAGCGUGGGGAGCAAAUAGGAUUAGAUACCCUAGUAGUCCACGCCGUAAACGAUGAGUAAUAAGGGUUGGGGGUCAAACCUCAGUGCUGUAGUUAACGCAAUAAGUACUCCGCCUGAGUAGUACGUUCGCAAGAAUGAAAAUCAAAGGAAUUGACGGGGGCCCGCACAAGCGGUGGAGCAUGUGGUUUAAUUCGAAGCAACGCGAAGAACCAUACCAGGUCUAGACAUCGAUCUAAAGGCCCUAGAGAUAGGGAGAUAGUUAUAGAGAAGACAGGUGGUGCAUGGUUGUCGUCAGCUCGUGUCGUGAGAUGUUGGGUUAAGUCCCGCAACGAGCGCAACCCUUGUCGUUAGUUACCAGCAGUAAGAUGGGGACUCUAACGAGACCGCCGGUGAGAAGCCGGAGGAAGACGGGGAUGACGUCAAAUCAUCAUGCCCCGUAUGACAUGGGCGACACACGUGCUACAAUGGUCGGUACAGAGAGAAGCGAAGCUGUGAAGUGGAGCGAAACUCAAAAAGCCGAUCGUAGUCCGGAUUGCAGUCUGCAACUCGACUGCAUGAAGCUGGAAUCGCUAGUAAUCGCAAGUCAGCCAUAUUUCGGUGAAUACGUUCUCGGGC